CCUACGGGAGGCAGCAGUGAGGAAUAUUGGUCAAUGGACGCAAGUCUGAACCAGCCAUGCCGCGUGCAGGAAGACGGCUCUAUGAGUUGUAAACUGCUUUUGUACGAGGGUAAACGCAGAUACGCGAAUCUGUCUGAAAGUAUCGUACGAAUAAGGAUCGGCUAACUCCGUGCCAGAAGCCGCGGUAUUACGGAGGAUUCAAGCGUUAUCCGGAUUUAUUGGGGUUAAAGGGUGCGAAGGGGGUCGAAUAAGUAGAGGGGAAAGACCGAGGCUCAACUUCGGAAUUGCUUCUGAUACUGUUCGGCUAGAGAGUAGGUGCGGUAGGCGGAAUGUAUGGUGUAGCGGUGAAAUGCUUAGAGAUCAUACAGAACACCGAUUGCGAAGGCAGCUUACCAAGCUACUUCUGACGUUGAGGCACGAAAGCGUGGGGAGCAAACAGGAUUAGAUACCCUUGUAGUC
RNAcentral lists this ribosomal RNA (459 nucleotides) under uncultured bacterium. RNAcentral's name for it is "partial 16S ribosomal RNA". It matches the Rfam family "Bacterial small subunit ribosomal RNA", at positions 338 to 795 of the family's 1533-position model. The record is from RNAcentral.